GAGGGUAUAACUCAGUGGUAGAGUGUAUGCUUAGCAUUCAUGAGAACUUGGGUUCAAUCCCCAGUACCUCCA
Molecule: transfer RNA, 72 nt
Filed under: Camelus bactrianus (Bactrian camel)
Lineage: Eukaryota; Metazoa; Chordata; Mammalia; Artiodactyla; Camelidae
Also listed under: 2 other names
Rfam family: tRNA
About the family: Transfer RNA (tRNA) molecules are approximately 80 nucleotides in length. Their secondary structure includes four short double-helical elements and three loops (D, anti-codon, and T loops).
Source: Rfam by way of RNAcentral